This 76-nucleotide transfer RNA is filed under the name Corynebacterium glutamicum. Its description in RNAcentral is "tRNA-Thr (CGT) (tRNA-Thr-CGT-1-1)". It matches the Rfam family "tRNA". From Rfam's summary of the family: Transfer RNA (tRNA) molecules are approximately 80 nucleotides in length. Their secondary structure includes four short double-helical elements and three loops (D, anti-codon, and T loops). RNAcentral also lists the same sequence under 14 other names. The record is from RNAcentral. Lineage: Bacteria; Bacillati; Actinomycetota; Actinomycetes; Mycobacteriales; Corynebacteriaceae.
GCCGCUUUAGCUCAGUCGGUAGAGCGUCUCACUCGUAAUGAGAAGGUCGCGAGUUCGAUUCUCGCAAGCGGCUCCA